GAAAAAAAAUUAACGGGAUAUCGCGAUAAAAUUGGUCACACCGACGACGGCCACAUCAAAAAACUGGGGGUCUGGCGUGACCCUGUUAUUUCUAUUCUGCAAUAAAAUAGCUGUGUAAUCUUAGUUAACUAGUGUGUGGUUUUUUGUUGAUUUAUUAUAAUUUGUAGUGUAAUACAUGUGUAAAAUAUGGAACGUGCUACUGGAACCGAAGUGUACGGGUGUGGCUCUACCCAAAGCACGGACAUAACUUUGAAUAUACAUACCACCACGGGUGGUAAUUUUUCCGUGAGUUUGAACGGCAAAAGCACCGUCGAGCAUCUAAAGAAACUAGUUUCAAAGAAACUAAAGGUGUCAAAGGAUCGAAUAUGCUUACUACAUCGCGAGAGACAAUUGAGGGACGGCACGUUGGAAGAAAAUGGACUGAUGGACGGGUCGCGGGUCAUCCUACUACCAAGCGUCGAGACCGGAUUGCUGAGUCAAAGACCCGAGAAUACAGUGAUGCAAGCAUUAGAGUCCUUGAAUGACACCCAAGUCAAUGAUUUCUUGAGUGGUAAAUCACCAUUAAAUUUGACAAUGCGCUUGGGAGAUCACAUGAUGUUGAUACAACUUCAGCUAUCUACCCUACACUCCAGUUCUUGUCCUAGAUCUUUAAGGAAUUCUGCAGCUGCAAAAACCUCUUCAACUUCUCAGCAGGCAGCAAGUGAUAAUAAGGAUAGUAAGGAUUCUAACCAUCAAAAUAACACACAAAAAUCUGAGCCAGAGACCAACAGUCCUGAAAAAGAAAAAAGUAAUCCUGAUCUACAAACACAUGUGUUCCAAAAACAUGAUUUAGAGUUAUUACAGAAUGCCUUUGAUCUAUAUCGCUCUAUGGCUGAAGAGAAAUAUGCAAAUGCUACAAAAACAGAAGCAAAAAAUGACAAAACUGAAUCAUUAGACGGAACUAACUGUACUAUACCAGAUUUGUCGAACAUAACUGUAGAAAAUGACCAAUCACCAAUUAAAUCACUCUCCAACAUGGUGUCUAGUCCUAUUGAUACUUCUGCUACACCUACAACAGAAACUAGAGAUAUGUCAAUUGUUAAUUCUGUUAAAAGUAAUUUACUGGAGUUACUAUCACAAAACAAAUCAAAUAGUGAACCUGUCCCAUCAACAAGUGGUAUGACUGAUAAAGCAUGUCCUUCAACAUCAUCACAUGCAUCUGAUAGUUCAUUUAGUGAUGACAAUGACAAUUUCACUGACCAAAGCUCGUUUCUUGCUGAGAGUACAAUAGAUGAAUAUCCUAUGGAAAAUCUCUUCAACAGUGCUGUAGACAAAGGCUUGUUUGGAGACCAAGAUGAAUGUAUGUUGGAUAGAGAGAUUUCAAAUUUGGCAACUACUAGUCAUGGACAGGCAUCAAACACAGGCACAUUGCCUUCCUUUCAGAGUUUAAAUGAGCCAUUGAAAAAUAAGAGAUUCCAAUAUUUACUUCAUAAAACUUCCAAAUUUAAACAUCCCAUAGGACAAAAUAAACAAAGAGCCUUCAUGCAGUCUGUUGUAAACAAACACAAGAAGAGAAUGCAAUCUAGACAAGAUAAUAUAGCAGCUCAACCUUCAACAUCUCGAACAGAACCAUAUAUAACAAACCCAAGGAAACUUAUACUACAGCCAAGCAACAGCAAUGCCGACGAUCAAGCCACUCCUUCUACGUCUAAACAAAUAUCCUUCAGACCCCCUGAUGCGCCAAAAAAGCCUGCUAGAGUGUUGCCCACACCCACAGUAGAUACUAAAGCACUAAUAGAGGCCUCAAAGAAUUUGACUCAGAAACUGAAAAAGUUGUCAAAGGAAGUGUUAACAAACAAAAUUGAUCUCAGAACUGCCGAAGAGACUAUGCGGUCCAAGAUUGGCCCUGGUGCUGUGAUAGAGUCCAUGAAACAUCAUGGCAAAGGAAUAUAUUCAGGAACUUUCUCAGGAACGCUCAAUCCUGCACUUCAGGACAGAUAUGGACGACCAAAGAGAGAUAUAUCUACAAUUAUACAUAUUCUGAAUGAUUUAUUAUGUGCAACUCCACCUAUUGCUUUAGCUCAGAAGGAUCCCAGUCACUCCUGUGCUAGUACUGAAGAACAAACCAAAUGUGUAGGGUGCAGUCAACCUUCAUGCUUAUAUGGACAAUGCGACGGUCACCUACCUUCCACAUCCACCGACAAAAAAGACUGUUCAUGCAAACUGACACACUGUCAGUGCAUUAGACUCGCUCCUGUCGCCUGCGCCAGUUGCGUCACUAAGACCCCCGAUGAAAUAUGCAAGAAAUGCGACACAGCUAAAGCUCUAGCCAUUGAAAACUCAAAGACAAAGUGCAAACUAGAACAAUUAAGGCUCGUAAUGCAACAGAAGAAACAGAGACGAGAGGCGAGAAAGUUAAAGACGAUGCCUUAUGCAAAUACAGCCCCCAAAGCAAUCUCUUCCCCGGAACAGCCACCUGUUAUAAAAGAAGAAAUCGAAACAGUUGCCUAACCCGCGAUUUGGCCGCAAGCACGUGUGAGGCUGAUGAAAAUGUUGCUUGCGUUUUUCACACUUAUGAAUAAGAAACAAAAGGCCCCAGGAAAAACUGAAAAAUUACAAAUCUAAAGUGUUGAAAACAUACAUGAAAUUGACAAUAUGUUUGGGUUCAGCUUAUCUCAUGUAAAUAGUUUUUGUGCCUAAAUUUUACAGAAUGAAUUUACGUAAACGUAUUCUACAUAGACGCCUGUGUAAACAAUGUGCGUUGCCGAACACAAGAGCGUCCUAAAUACGCUAAAUGUGAAUUCAUGCAAAUAUCAUUGUUCUCUGCACAUGAAUAAACGAAAAGUGCUUUCUUUGUGUAAAAAUGGAGAGUUGAAAUGGAGCCUCGAUGCUGUUUCAUUAUGGUUAAACUAACAUUGAGUUUACGAUUCUAAAUUACCAUUUUAAUCAUAAGUUGAAGUAGUAGAUUUAAAAUAAUUAAGUGCUAUUAUAUGCAUGUACAAAUUGAUUAACCUAGCGAGUUCUGAAGUGAUAGUUAAACUUAGUUUUAACCAGUCAAUGUUAUCUUGCGCAGUUGGUGUGUGCCGUCUAAAUUUUUUGUUAUCUUUGUUAAAUUUUAAUUUUUUUUUGUUUGUUCGAGAACACGCACUAUUUAUUAUUAUAAUAUGAUGCAUUAACAAAAUCUGAAUAGUUUGUGAGAAUAUUAAUUUCUAUCCCUGUUUUAAAUUGUUUUUCAGGCAAUUAAGACUGUCCCAUGAUUGGCAAUGUUUUUAUACUUUGUUUCUUUUAUCACGGGUAUAAUAUUGUUGAAUAUAAUAAAUGUUUUCUCCAUUAUAAUUUUGUUUAGUUCCUUUUAUAUUACCAUUUUUAUUUGUAAAAAUCAAUGCAUGAUGUAUAAACACCAAUUAUUAUAAAAAGCAUAUGACAGCCUUUCGAAAUUGAUUCCUUAGAACUAGCUUUGUAAAUACAUAAGUUAGCUAAGUAUUCAGCUAUGAAGUGCUUUUCACAUUUGUAUAUCAUUUAAAAUUUUGAUGUUGAAUUGCUUAGAAAUAAUUUAGCAUUUUAAUGUGAAUAAUAGAACAUAAAAAUACAGAUAGAGUUAUUUAAGUCAAUGCAAGGAGUUGAAAAAUAAUAACAUCGACGCGGAAUGUUAUUAUUUCCUAAAAAUCUGUUAAUAUUGUUUUUUUUUCAUGAAGUAUUUAUUGAUGGAAUUAUAUAUCACAGUCGCGUACGUUAAAAAUUUGAAAUUUCGAUUACUCGCCGUCUAAUUUUGUAUCUGUGCACCAAAUUCUCGCACAAAUUUAUUUCAAAAAACUCGUACGAAUCUAUAAUAAUAUUAUUCAAAAAAGAAUAUAGGAAUGCAUUAAAACAUAUAAUAUAAUAGGUUUUGUUUCUAGAUAGUUUCCUAGUUUAUAUUGCAGGAAAUUAUUGAUAAAUCUUAUGUUAAUAAAAUAUCUAAUGAAUCUCCGAUGUAAAUAGGACGUACCUGGUGUAGCUGACAAUUCAAUAGGCUGCUUGCAAACUGGAUAUUAGUGACGGACAAACUUUUUCAUUUCAAACUAUUCAACUUGGACCCAACGUAGCAAUGUGAAAGGAUAAUUUAAAGUGUAAUGGGAGUAAUAACGCGUUUUUUGGCCAUUAUGUGUAAAUGUAUUCAUAAUCAUAUUAUUGUAUCAGUACGAUAUAUGUUAAAUUCUACUAAUUUAGGGACUCUAUAUAACUUUCUUCUUAUGGUCGAAAUUAAUUUAGUUUUGAUUUGUAUUUUUAAAUCACUAGCCGACGUCCGUUAUAAUCUCGUGCUUUAGAUUAAAUUUCAACAAUUCAUCCUAAUAAACAACAUUUAGGUACAUUUAUACGUUAAAAUAAUUACCCAUAAAAAAAGUAGUCUGAGACCUGAUUUUUCAUUCCAAUUUACAGUGUACACAGGUAAAUGAAUUUACGUAAUUUUAGUACUGUUUUACCAACGAAAACUAAAAAGCAAAUACGAGCCAUAAAACUAUUAAUUAGGUAAAUUAAAGUACCUAUCGAACGUAACGCCGCGCCAUUAGGAAUUGAUAAACGAAAGAUAGUUUUCCACUUGUCGUAGGAAACCUAGAUUUCCCCAGAAACAAGGAAUCAAAUAGCAAGAAAACAUUUCGUUCAAGGUAAACAAUGCAACAUGAAUUUGCACUUUUUUAAAUUCCAGCAGAUAAGUUUAAUUAAGUAGUUGUUGAAGUACUAUAGAUACACCUUUUGGAUUUUUGUAUUGUGAUAUUUUUACUGUUUUUGUUAGGUACUUUACUAAGUGAAAGUUGGGGUACCAAUGGGACCGUUUCUUAUAAAUGUGCCAUAUAAGUAUGUUUUUCAGGCACACAAAUCGGUUUAGAUUCUUAUCUUAAUUAUGUACUGAUACUUUAUUUUAUCAACUUCAAAAACAAUUUGUUGUACAAAAUGUUUCUACAUUAAAAUUUUUUGCUCUGUCAUGGCGAAAUAAAUUUGUAAAAUCAUAAAAUAUAUAUCUUUGCUGAGAUCUCAUUACAACUUACCUUGGGAUAUGUAACUUGCAUUUGAGAAUUUGGUUUCUAUUAUUUUGUAUUAAACAUAAAUUUUGUUACCAUGGUAUUUUAGUUGCGAAAGUGAAAUGUUUUGUUAAGAUUUGGUGGGAAAUCAUAUUUUUUUUCCUUAUAUUUGAGUGUUUAGUGAGGGGAAUAAAGUUAUAUAACACAA
Molecule: RNA transcript, 5184 nt
Organism: Bombyx mori (domestic silkworm)
Lineage: Eukaryota; Metazoa; Arthropoda; Insecta; Lepidoptera; Bombycidae
Gene: stx
Gene name: midnolin homolog
Exons: 6
Source: RefSeq, a predicted model, not a curated record